RNAcentral lists this non-coding RNA (30 nucleotides) under Homo sapiens (human). Lineage: Eukaryota; Metazoa; Chordata; Mammalia; Primates; Hominidae. The record is from RNAcentral.
UGCAGUGCCCUCUGCAGUGACCUCCGUAUA